This 575-nucleotide ribosomal RNA is filed under the name Cerapterocerus sp. A AG-2011. Its description in RNAcentral is "eukaryotic LSU rRNA". It matches the Rfam family "Eukaryotic large subunit ribosomal RNA", at positions 389 to 740 of the family's 3401-position model. Lineage: Eukaryota; Metazoa; Arthropoda; Insecta; Hymenoptera; Encyrtidae. The record is from RNAcentral.
UCAAGAGUACGUGAACCCGUUCAGGGGUACACCUGAGAAACCCAAAAGAUAAAAUGGGGAGAUUCAGCGCCAACGAUGUCGGCUUCCGUGUCGCUAGCGAUGUCUUUGAGCUCGGUCGCUUGAUACGCUGCGCUGCGGUAUGACGGGUGUUGUCGGCGUGCAUUUCUCCCAUAGUAGGACGUCGCGACCCGCUGUGGGGUCGCCCAAGGCCCCGAACGGUAGACUGUCGCGCUCCUGGCGCGGCAGACCGAUAUCGGCCCGGCCGACUGCUCGGCGGUAUCGAACGAAACAUGGUAUUGGGUCGCAAGAAUGCGUUAGACUCGUUGGCAGGCUCGCCUCGCUUGGAUAACGGACCUCGAGCCGUUCCCGGGCGCUUGGUGUGCCCUUGGCCGACGAAGAUCUCGAACGGGCUCUAAAAGGUUCGCGCUGAAUACCUGUCGGCGACGCUUUUGCUUUGGGUACUUUCAGGACCCGUCUUGAAACACGGACCAAGGAGUCUAACAUGUACGCGAGUCAUUGGGAAAACAAGCCUAAAGGCGCAAUGAAAGUGAAGAUGCGCGGCGGUCAAGGGAGGA